RNAcentral lists this ribosomal RNA (492 nucleotides) under uncultured bacterium. Its description in RNAcentral is "partial 16S ribosomal RNA". It matches the Rfam family "Bacterial small subunit ribosomal RNA", at positions 29 to 507 of the family's 1533-position model. The record is from RNAcentral.
AGUGAACGCUGGCGGUAGGCCUAACACAUGCAAGCCGAACGGCAGCACAGUAAGAGCUUGCUAAUACGGGAGGCGAGUGGCGGACGGGUGAGGAAUACAUCGGAAUCUACUUUUUCGUGGGGGAUAACGUAGGGAAACUUACGCUAAUACCGCAAACAACUUACGGUUGAAAGCAGGGGAUCUUCAGAGCUUGGGCGAUUGAAGGAGCCGAUGCCGGAUUAGCUAGAUGGCGGGGUAAAGGGCCACCAAGGCGACGAUCCGUAGCUGGUCUGAGAGGAUGAUCAGCCACACUGGAACUGAGACACGGUCCAGACUCCUACGGGAGGCAGCAGUGGGGAAUAUUGGACAAUGGGCGCAAGCCUGAUCCAGCCAUACCGCGUGGGUGAAGAAGGCCUUCGGGUUGUAAAGCCCUUUUGUUGGGAAAGAAAAGCAGCAGGUUAAUCCCCCGCUGUUCUGACGGUACCCAAAGAAUAAGCACCGGCUAACUUCGUG